RNAcentral lists this long non-coding RNA (287 nucleotides) under Homo sapiens (human). RNAcentral describes it as "non-protein coding lnc-HS2ST1-3:1". Lineage: Eukaryota; Metazoa; Chordata; Mammalia; Primates; Hominidae. The record is from RNAcentral.
CUGGCAAAGAGUAGACCUACAGUCCCCAAGUGAUCUGGUUUCUGAACUUUGUUUUGCUUUCACAAAUGUGAGCCAAUUUGCCCUAAAUCUGGGUAUUUCAUGUAGCAUCUUGAGAGAUGUAUUUAAAGUGCCUGUGGCAAUAACAUUUCAUUUGUACCCAUUUUGAUGAUUCUGGGUGCCCUCUUGAUAAGGCAGCCAGGUUGUGCUGUAAAAAAAAACAAUGUAGAGGUUUCAGUCUUAGGUGUUUGAAACUGUUGGAUCUCUCAAAAUUGAUUAGCUGAAAUAUA